GCUGGGCAGGCCCUCUUGCAGCGCGGGCGUGGAAGGCUUUAGAAUAAAAGUACAGUUGUGCUUUUAGUGACUGUCAGCAUCAAACCGCUUUGAACCCAGACACACAGCAGCUUCGUGGCGCUUUUCUUUCACGUCCCGCUAUGUCCUCAGACAGUACCAUGGACUUGGACUUGGAGCUUGGUGAGUUGCUCCAGGAGUUCCAGGAUGUGGUGGAGGAGCUGAAGGCCCCUUCUCAAAGCAGACCGCAUGCUUACCAGAAAGCACUGCACGAGGCCAAAACUCUCACAGGGCUGAGUGAAGACAGUGGAGUCGAGGACUCAGAUUACAGUAAGUUAUUCGGAAAAAAAGAAAAAAAGUACGUUAGAGCAGUGAUUAAGAUAAUAUCUUCCUAAUGUACAAAGUGUGGGGGAAGGAAAGUAAUUAUUUAGUGCAUCAUGCUGGUGAGUGACAUUGUUUGGAGUCCCCGUGGACUCCAGUUGAGCCCCUUUAUCAGCCCAAACAACUGCAGCUUGACACAUUUAAUUUGCAUGAAAUUAGUGGUACAAGAGGACACAUCCCUACACACUUCCAUUAAAGUGGCUGUUUGUGCUCGUGACAAUAGCUGUGUACUGGAAUGAGCUGCAAUUACGGAUAUCCCAUCUUGUGUAAUUGUCUUUCCCCCCUUUGUUCUGCAUUUGUCGACGGUUAUAAGAUAAAAGAAGAAACCGUUUCCCCCCCCCUCUGCUCCCAUGUGUCGUCAUUAUUGAAAGUAUUUUGCCCCCCUAACGAUUCAACAGGCAAAGUGCUUUCAAAGACUUACACAUGGGAGUCACUAGCGCCGAACACUUACCUUUUAAUUUUUUUUAUCGCAUGUUAUCGUCAUUAUGUGCAACUCCUGCAUUAUGUUAGAGUUUUGUCAUUGUCACUGAUCAUUUGCACGGACUGCCCUUAGUGCUUGUUAUCUCCUUUCACUCCCUCUUUGCUUCUCUCUCUUCCCCCAGGCAGUGAACCAUCUAUGGGGAACAGUUUGAAUGCCAGUGAGGAGGAGCUCCACACAGCAGGAAUAACGCUGGCAUCAAAAGGUACUGGAGCCUUCUAUCAGCUCAUCUCCAUCUAGAUAGCCUCAGUUCUUACAGCGAUCACUAUCACUUUAUAAGAGCCACACAGUAAGCAUCUGCAAUGCCCUGGAAUCUGUCUUGGUUUACACAACACAGCAACUUCCACUGUGGCUGUGACGUCUCAGCGCUCUUCUUUCAAAGCUCCUGCGUGGAGUCAUUUGUGCUGUUAUAUGCAGUGAUGAGACCGGCUCUUGGCUGCAUGCACAUGUGGAUUAAUGAGUGCUGCUGCAGUUGCAUGCACAGACUACUGUUAAAGUUAAACAUCAGGUGACCAGAAAGUGUCAAUCAUAUUUUUUCAUCAAUUUUUUUUGGCUUUGCAUGGAAAAAGCUUACAACAGAGAGAUCCUGGUGGGAGCGAGGCUGCCAAGGUUUUUUUUGGAACUCUUAAAAUCAGCUUUAUCUCAGUUUGAAUAAAAGGAACCCAAGAUUUAUUUUUUUUUGCCAGUUCAGUUCGUACUUUAUGUAAUGCAGAGACUUAGAUAACUUCAGCGUUUGGUCCAAAGGAAAUAGGCUACCACUGAACUGAGCUGCAUUUCUCUACAAAAAUGUUCCACUGCAGCUCUUUUUUUUGUUAUAGUUUCUCAAAUUCCAUUUCUUUCUGUCCUCUUUCUGCAGCCAAGCUGGGAGACACAAGUGAUCUUGAGAGUUUUAUCGACAUGUUGGACCGGGAACUUGCUGGUGCGUAUUUAAGAAAAUUACACCCUCUAUCAUCCAAUCUUUUCUUGAUUUCUUUUGUACUGAGUUGACAAGCCAGCAGGGUGGAGUAUGUUACAGUGGCAGAGACGCGCUAACAUGAGCGUGGUGUAUGUUUUGGACUGUGUAGCAGUAUCCACCUUGUUUCUACAGUGUACUGUACCCCCUGCUGUUUAUCUCUGAGCACCCUUUAUGUGUAAAUGCCAUGUCUGGGGACUCAGGUGGACUAUCUACACGCCCUUUAGUGAUAAUGGCAUACUUGACUACAUGAGCGUCAUGAUCCUGCUAUCAGCGGUAAAGCAGUGGUGUUUCAGAGGCCCCUAAACACACACGCAUCACCCAGAGCACGCACACAAGCAACAGGGAGCAAAGCAUAAAUCCACUGCUAUCAGUGGUCUCGACACAAAGCGAAUUAACGUUACAAAUUAAUCGUAACUCCCCAUGUAUCUCUACAAGUCUCACUUAGUCACUGCAUGUUUAUGUGUUUGUUUACAUGCCUGUGCUUUUUUUUCUUCUUUCUUUUUGCAGAGAUGUGAACGGAGAGCAAAAGUGAGCCACGUACAAUAAUGGAGGGGGGGAUAGGGAAUAGGCUGGGGGCGACACGACUGGCUACUGCUGAGCAGAAAGAGAGAUAUACACCAGAGCAGAUCUGAUGGAGCAAAUGGUCCCCUCGCCGCUCCGGGGGAAAAGGUUAACAUCCGAAAUUAAAAGGGCAGUCCAUUCCGAAAAUGCAAGAACUCCCACAGACCCCCGGCGAUGCUGCGUCCAGCCAGCAAAGACAACGUCUCCCUGCAGCAUCAGAUCCAGGAUGUGUGACAUAUUCCUGAAAUGAGACAAAGCUUCCAUCUGUUUGGGCAUAUGACAAAAAAGAAAGAAAAAACACAGCAAAAACACUGCCUGGAGUAUAGAAAGCAUGUUUAUCCCACAUAAAAAAAAAAAAUCCCAUAAGUGCAAUGCCCAGAAAGGGCUCUAAAUCCUCACGGCUGUGUAGUUUUGAAGAAAGCUGAGCUUUGUCUGGAUCAAAAUCUUAGAUGGCACAAAAGUUUUAGGCUAAUUUCAAAGUAAUUUUAAGUAGAAGGGCAUUUCUGGUGUACAGGUCUUUAUGAUAUUUGUUUUUUUUUAAUAAUAUAUAAUGUAUAUACAGAUGAAUGCAUGUAAAAUAAAAAGAGAUUUGUAAUGAA
Molecule: long non-coding RNA, 2971 nt
Organism: Oreochromis aureus
Lineage: Eukaryota; Metazoa; Chordata; Actinopteri; Cichliformes; Cichlidae
Source: Ensembl